GUGCCAGCAGCCGCGGUAAAACGUAGGACGCAAGCGUUAUCCGGAGUUACUGGGCGUAAAGGGCGUGCAGGCGGUCGGGUAAGUUCGCCGUGAAAGACUCCGGCUCAACCGGGGGAUGUCGGGGGAGACUGCCGGACUGGAGGGCGGUAGAGGAGCAGGGAAUUCCGGGUGUAGUGGUGAAAUGCGUAGAGAUCCGGAGGAACACCAGUGGCGAAGGCGCUGCUCUGGGCCGCUGCUGACGCUGAGACGCGAAAGCAUGGGGAGCGAACGGGAUUAGAAACCCGCGUAGUCC
RNAcentral lists this ribosomal RNA (292 nucleotides) under uncultured bacterium. Its description in RNAcentral is "partial 16S ribosomal RNA". It matches the Rfam family "Bacterial small subunit ribosomal RNA", at positions 505 to 796 of the family's 1533-position model. The record is from RNAcentral.